AUGUGCCGUGAACCCUGGACUGUGGGCCAUGUUUGUGACGGAGCUAGGACGCCGUGGACGGCUCCAAGCAGAGCCGUGGCCCAUGACGGCAUGUUCUUCCCGAUCCAUGGCCCGGGAAACCUGCUUUCUAGUUACAGACAGGGAUGGACAGCCGUGAUGAAACAGGCAAAUGACAGCGAUAUUCUAAUGCAGCCGCUGCACUACCUAGUGGCGCGGCCGGCUGAGGAGCCGCUAGCAGCUAUGGUGGAACUAAGUGCAGACGGCCAGAUCCAUGCGGCGGAAGGGGAAAUGGAUGCACAAGAAGGGUCGCCGAGAGCGUCGGAGCAGGUGAGAGUAGGUGUUGCUGUCCCAGGAAGGACGCCAUGUCCUAACCGGACUACUGCUCUGGAGAAGGCUAUCCAUGGUUUUGCCGACAAUCUUGGGGACAAUGUCAUAGUGCCAACUUUGGGUACAAUCUUUGAUUCUCUAGGUGAAGCAUACAACUUCUACAACCUAUAUUUGUGGAGAAAGGAUUUGGCAUUAGAUACGGCAAAAGGUCGAAUUGCUGAGACGACAUGGGUGGAGAGGGGCGACUCCAUUGGCGGUGAUGGAGUUGCUGAUGCGACCCAUGAACAGGGUCGCAGAUUCCCCUUUCUGGAGGAAUUGCAUGAGAGCGCAACCCCGAUGGAACCGGCAGCGUUCACGGUGGUUCGUUUGCUGUGCAAUGGAAUCGAGAUCAUGAUGCUCAAUCUUGAUCUGGUUGCUGGGAUGAAAAGAGACAAGACGAAUCUUGAAGAGGAAGGCUGUUCGCUGGGGAGACGGAUGGCAGUAAAUGGGCCAGCGAAGGUAGCAGGCAUUGGAACAGAAGUUUGGGCCACGGCCCAGGCCAUUGGCAGCCAUCUGAGCCGGCGCUAG
RNAcentral lists this ribosomal RNA (894 nucleotides) under Triticum aestivum (bread wheat). RNAcentral describes it as "partial small subunit ribosomal RNA". Lineage: Eukaryota; Viridiplantae; Streptophyta; Magnoliopsida; Poales; Poaceae. The record is from RNAcentral.